CUGGACUAUUCCCACCAGCUGCAUGCUAUUUUUGACCCCUUUUACCUAUUCACAUAAAACAUCUUCACCUUGAAGUGUCUUAGGAAAGAGAAUACAAUUAGAUCUUCCAUUUGGCCUUAAACAAUUAUAUAUCAAGAAAAAUGUUUUGAUGGCAAACACUUUCUCUCUCGUACACUUAAGAUCAUUUGUUAAACUUUGUAACCCAUUUAAGUUUGAGUCCCCAGUAGGAAGACAAAGGUGUUAUUGAAUCCUUCUUUGUCAAUUUAGGUAA
Molecule: long non-coding RNA, 271 nt
Filed under: Capsicum annuum
Lineage: Eukaryota; Viridiplantae; Streptophyta; Magnoliopsida; Solanales; Solanaceae
Description: long non-coding RNA (CANN_LNC006894)
Source: RNAcentral